AGAGUUUGAUCCUGGCUCAGGAUGAACGCUGGCGGCGUGCUUAACACAUGCAAGUCGAACGGAGUUUUUAAACGGAAGUUUUCGGAUGGAAGUUUAGAAACUUAGUGGCGGACGGGUGAGUAACGCGUGGGCAACCUGCCUCAUACGGGGGGAUAACAGUUAGAAAUGACUGCUAACACCGCAUAAUAUAGCGAAACCGCAUGAUUUUUGCUACCAAAUAUUUAUAGGUAUGAGAUGGGCCCGCGUCUGAUUAGCUAGUUGGUGGGGUAAAAGCCUACCAAGGCGACGAUCAGUAGCCGGCUUGAGAGAGUGACCGGCCACAUUGGGACUGAGACACGGCCCAAACUCCUACGGGAGGCAGCAGUGGGGAAUAUUGGACAAUGGGGGAAACCCUGAUCCAGCGAACCGCCGCGUGAGUGAAGAAGUAUUUCGGUAUGUAAAGCUCUAUCAGCAGGGAAGAUAAUGACAGUACCUGACUAAGAAGCCCCGGCUAACUACGUGCCAGCCGCAGC
Molecule: ribosomal RNA, 512 nt
Filed under: uncultured bacterium
Lineage: Bacteria
Description: bacterial SSU rRNA
Rfam family: Bacterial small subunit ribosomal RNA
Source: RNAcentral